CGUGACUGAAUACGCCGGUCAGCCACAGUCCAACUCCAACGUAUCAAGUUACGAGGUUGUGCUUUCUGAACAGGCAUGGUGGGCUGGUGUCUAUCUUCGUUUAUAUCCCAUUAUCUGUUGACUACGCUAUUUGUUUCGUUAACUCGUGUCAUCCCCAUGCUCAAAAAAGAUUUCAUCAAGAGUACGAAUGCUGACAUUAUUACCGAAGAAUGAGAGCAACUUUGAACGAUCAAAAUAUUGUACAGUUAUUUGUGGCUUGCACAGAUUCCGGAUGCUUCAUCACUGAUUCUGUCAGGUAUGCUGGGUAUCGGCCCCUUCACUUUAACACAUGAAGAUGAAGAGGAAGCAGCAGCAGAACCACAACUCAGCGACUCUGCGAGGCAGAACUCAGGCACAAGUUGGUGACCCAACAACUCCACUUUGGAUUCGCUGCAAAGCUUGCCACUUUGGCAGAACCAUUUUCUUCUUCCCCGGUCCGGCCAUGGUGUCGAUUUCUUCUUCCUAGAUCCACAAAAUACGGGACCUCCAUCCCUUCUGUCAAUGGCAUCAAGAAAUCCAGAUGCCGGCGCAGAAGACUCACGCAAGGAGGCUCUUCCAACCAUGACGAUAAUAGGAAGAUGCUAGGUGAGUUCUCGGUUCAUAAUCACCAUUAGAAUUCCACUGUUUUUAGUUUGGUUUUCGUCCUGUGAAGUUGUUGGUAAGGGAGACCAAUGUCUCCUGGCGGAGAGGAAGAAAGCAAUGACAAUGAGCCAGACCACCGCAUUCCAAUCGAUGGAAUAGCAGUGGGUUUUGUUUCUAUUGAACAUGCCGCCGUUCUUAACUGCUACUCAUUCAUGCUCCAAUCACCCUUCAACCAGCAGUUGGGGAAUCAAGUUGGUGGAGGAAUGACCUUCCAGGAUAUGGUAAGGAGAUCUAGUAAUAGAGUGCUGAAUUAUGUAGCUGAUGACUUGAAUGGAAAAACUAGGAUUGGCCGUGUAGAACAGGUUCCAAACUGCAAUGAUUCUUGAGUUCUCGUGGAUCUAGAAAGGUGCCCUGUGGAUCAUGAUUCAUCUGUGGAAGUUGCAUCUUCCUCCUUUUGCACCGGAGAUGGUAAAAUAAACUCCAAAUCACAGGAGAGGGGUCCGGCAACCAUGAUGAAACAGUGACCUGUGUUUUAGGAAUUUAACAGGAAGGCAUUGAUUCUUCUAAUAACCGCGAAAUGUUCAGUACAAAGAUUGAAGCGCAGCCAUGGCCGCUUGCUCCAACGGUUCCCUGGGAACCGCCCCCCACCCUACGUAGGGGGAGCUUUGGGGGGGAAAUUUCCUCCAACGGUUCCCCCAAAGCUCCCCCUAUAUACGGGGGGAGUUGAAACUCCCCUCAUAUAUAGGGAGAAGGCUGCCUAAAGAUGCGCCUGAAGGGUUGAAUCGCUAAAAGACGAGGAAUGAGAUAAUAAGGGAGAAAAUGAAGCAGUCAGGGAGGAAGGUCAGCAAGAAGAAGAAAAACAAAAAGUGCUGUGGCACCUGCAGACUUGAUGAUCAUAAGACGUCAGAAUGUCUAACCAAGAUUGUUUGGUAUUACUGUGUCAAGGGAAUUCUGAUUUCUGGACCUGAUCGUGGAUGUUAUUUUUGGUUCUUGUGCAUGCUAGAUUUGUAGUGCCUAAGAUCCAUUUUGUAUGUAGCCUAGUUGGAUUGAUGGUUCAUGUAACCGCGUGUGGAUGACAAGUUUAUUAUAUAUUUGUUCACUCUACUGAAUGUAUUUGUUGCGACAAUUUAAUGUCCUUUCAGCACAAUUGAUUGAGAUAUAAUUGAACGUGUUGUCAAA
This is a long non-coding RNA of Panicum virgatum (switchgrass), 1800 nucleotides long. RefSeq lists it as uncharacterized. The transcript is spliced from 6 exons. The record is from RefSeq and is a predicted model, not a curated record. NCBI's taxonomy places the organism in Eukaryota, Viridiplantae, Streptophyta, Magnoliopsida, Poales, Poaceae.